This 561-nucleotide ribosomal RNA is filed under the name uncultured bacterium. RNAcentral's name for it is "bacterial SSU rRNA". It matches the Rfam family "Bacterial small subunit ribosomal RNA", at positions 8 to 566 of the family's 1533-position model. The record is from RNAcentral.
AGGGUUUGAUCAUGGCUCAGAUUGAACGCUGGCGGCAUGCUUUACACAUGCAAGUCGAACGGUAACAGGCCGCAAGGUGCUGACGAGUGGCGAACGGGUGAGUAAUGCAUCGGAACGUGCCCAGUCGUGGGGGAUAACGCAGCGAAAGCUGUGCUAAUACCGCAUACGAUCUAUGGAUGAAAGCGGGGGACCGUAAGGCCUCGCGCGAUUGGAGCGGCCGAUGUCAGAUUAGCUAGUUGGUGGGGUAAAGGCCCACCAAGGCGACGAUCUGUAGCUGGUCUGAGAGGACGACCAGCCACACUGGGACUGAGACACGGCCCAGACUCCUACGGGAGGCAGCAGUGGGGAAUUUUGGACAAUGGGCGCAAGCCUGAUCCAGCAAUGCCGCGUGCAGGAAGAAGGCCUUCGGGUUGUAAACUGCUUUUGUACGGAACGAAACGGUCUGGGUUAAUACCCUGGGCUAAUGACGGUACCGUAAGAAUAAGCACCGGCUAACUACGUGCCAGCAGCCGCGGUAAUACGUAGGGUGCAAGCGUUAAUCGGAAUUACUGGGCGUAAAGC